AUGUUAUUUUAAUAAGUACUAAAGUUUAUGUGUCGUGUGGCAUUUAAUCUGACAUUUAGUACCAAUAUUUGCUUGAUGAGAAAGGCCAGCUUCUCAGGAGUUGUGCUCGUAUUGUAUUUGGAGUUUUGAGAACCAGAGGGUUUUUUAAAAAUUAUUUUUUAUUUGGCCGGAGCCUGCGACCGAGUGGGAGUGGAGUAGAGCCGCCCUUGUUGCCGACUCUUUCCUCCUCCCCACGGUCCAGUCAGCGGGUUGAUUAGGCCAUCGGCCCUCAAGCCGAGACUUGUCUCUUAUUUAGUUCUGGGGAGCGCCUGGCCGACAUGAGUGAUGUAGAGGAGAACAACUUCGAGGGCAGAGAGUCUCGCUCUCAGUCAAAAUCUCCAACGGGAACUCCUGCUCGUGUAAAAUCGGAGAGCAGGUCAGGAUCUCGUAGUCCAUCAAGGGUUUCCAAACACUCUGAAUCCCAUUCUCGAUCAAGAUCAAAAUCCAGGUCAAGGUCAAGGAGGCAUUCUCAUAGACGUUACACUCCAUCCAGAUCCCAUUCUCACUCUCAUAGGAGGCGAUCUCGAAGUAGGUCAUACACACCAGAAUACCGGCGUCGAAGGAGCCGAAGUCAUUCUCCAGUGUCUAACCGGAGAAGACUUACAGGCAGCAGGGCAAAUCCUGGUCCCAGUACUUGUCUAGGAGUGUUUGGCCUCAGUUUGUACACAACAGAGAGAGAUCUUCGCGAAGUAUUUUCUCGAUAUGGACCGUUGAGUGGUGUCAAUGUGGUUUAUGACCAGCGAACUGGACGGUCACAGGGAUUUGCUUUUGUUUAUUUCGAGAGAAUAGAUGACUCAAAGGAGGCUAUGGAAAGGGCAAAUGGAAUGGAACUGGAUGGUAGAAGAAUUCGGGUGGAUUAUUCUAUCACCAAGAGAGCACACACACCAACACCAGGCAUAUACAUGGGCAGACCAACUCAGAGUGGCGGCGGUGGCGGCGGCAGCGGGGGCGGCGGGGGUGGCGGUGGAGGAGGCGGCAGACGUCGAGACUCUUACUAUGAUCGAGGAUACGAUUGUGGGUACGACAGAUAUGAAGACUAUGAUUACCGGUACAGAAGAAGAUCACCUUCUCCUUACUACAGUCGAUACAGAUCACGAUCAAGAUCUCGAUCCUACAGCCCAAGACGCUAUUAAUAAGCAGAGCGGUUGCAGUUGAGGACAUCUUUUUCUCUUUUUUUAAAUUCUGGAUUUCCCCAAGCUUCUAAUCCUUCCUACUCCUCAAAAAGAACCCUUAAAAAAAUCUUUGGUUUGUUUAGCAUCUACACUUUGUCAAUUGUAUUGCUAUUUUCCACCCCUUUUAUUAUAUUCUUAAAGAUGUAAUUGUCAUUUUUGAGUAGUUAAACAUCUUGAGUAAAAAAGGAACCCCCAGUGUUAUGCUUUGUAAAUGAUUUUUUUGUUUGUUUUUUGCUUUUAUGGGAAAUUCACUCCUAUCUUAUCAAAAUGAGGAAAGAAAUGAUCUUUUUAAAGCUUCUUUUGUGUUAGAUAUUGUAUUAGACAUUGUAUUAGAGGUCUGCAUUUACUACAAACUCCUUUUUUAACUUUCUUUUGGGGAAGUUAGUAGUAGUUCAGUCAGGUCAAGUUUGUCUGGGGUGGCAUGGAACAGUCAAAUAGUUGAGUGUAGAAAGUUUGAAGCUAUAGAAAAAACGCUUACUUGGUCAUUUCUUUUGAAGAACAGAAUUUUUGAACCCUAAAAAUUACAUCAUUUUUUUUUUUUUAGAAAUGAAAAGCUUGUGGACUCCUGCAAAACAUGUUGUAUUUAAAAUACAUUUGUUGAAACUUAAAAAAAAA
Odocoileus virginianus texanus is the source of this 1826-nucleotide non-coding RNA. The record is from RefSeq and is a predicted model, not a curated record. Lineage: Eukaryota; Metazoa; Chordata; Mammalia; Artiodactyla; Cervidae.